RNAcentral lists this small nucleolar RNA (136 nucleotides) under Marmota monax (woodchuck). The record is from RNAcentral. Lineage: Eukaryota; Metazoa; Chordata; Mammalia; Rodentia; Sciuridae.
GUGGCAUACUGGGAAUUAUGGGUUACAAAGCAAAGCGAGGUUUCAAGCAGGAGCCUAAAGAAAUGUCUUUCUAUGGUCUGUUGGCUAUUUCAGAACUUUAGAAGUAUAAUAGUCAAUUCAAUAGAAAGAAACAUCU